This is a long non-coding RNA of Malurus melanocephalus (red-backed fairy wren), 1080 nucleotides long. RefSeq lists it as uncharacterized. The record is from RefSeq and is a predicted model, not a curated record. The transcript has 3 exons. Lineage: Eukaryota; Metazoa; Chordata; Aves; Passeriformes; Maluridae.
CAGCCCGCGUACAGCUGCCGUGCAGCCCGGCCCAGAGCCGCUGUCCCGGGGCUGUGCCCGCUGCCCGCUCCGCUCCCGACGCGCUGGCAGCCUGACCACUGUCGCAAUCAGCAGCUCUGAGUGCCGUCUGCGCUCUGCCAAAACUGUCUGCGUGUUUGGGCUCUGUUACCUUGGGCUCUGCCUGUUUGGACUCUGUUUGGGAUCACUUGGGGACCUGGCUGGGAGGAGGCACAGUAAAAGCAGGGCGUGAGGCAUUCCCAUGCAUGCUGUCUCUGAUUUCCCCACCUCUUUAUUGCCUUCCCGGUACUUUAUUGCCUUCCCAAACAGGUAACGCKUAUUGCUUUGCUGGAAUAAAACGUGUAAUUUAGCUGAUAUUGCCAUCUGCUGACAGAAACGCAGACUAGUCUGGGUGUCAGAGCCGCACGGGCUGGCGUGCUGACUGGCGACCUCAUGGGGGUCAUGUAAUCCGAUUUUCCGCUGAGAGAAGAGCCUGGUUAGAGCAGGAGGCUCAGGGAAUUGUCCGGCUAUGAAUAGCUUCAAAGAUGGAGAUUUCACAACCUCUUCGGACAACCUGUUCGCCUGAGUGACCACGCUUAGAGUAAAAUGUUUUUCCUGUAUCUAAAGAGAUUUUCCUAUGUUCCAUCUUGAGGCUGUUGCCUCUUAUGCUGCCUGACUGAGAAGAGAGUGACUCCCCCUCCUCCACAUCCUYCCGUUUGGUAGCUGCAGUGAUUGCACCCAGAGGCAGUUGCAAGAAGUGGGAGAGAUGGUAAGCAACACCCUGGACAAACACACGGAAAAGCAGGAUGUUUUCCUUGGAUGUCUCGCAAUCUAUGUGCAGACAAGCUGCAACAGAAGGUACCGCCAGGAAGCUGUCCCAGACACCAUGGGAAAAAGGAAACCUGCAGUGGGACUUCGCAACCUGGCAAACAGGACUGACUCUGGAGGCACCAAGCCUCCAUCCAGGCAGACUGACAGUCCCCCAAAGGAGGCACCAAGCCUCCACCCAGGCUGACUGACAGCCCCACAAAGGAGGCAUCAAGCCGCAGACAGAGCGGGGGAGGAAGUGCCACUCACAUCCCG